CCGAGAAAUUGUGUAUUAUCUUGACUCGUUAGGAAAUGAUUGGACAACAUACCCGGAUAUGAAGGUCCUAAUUGACACCGUCCUACAAGCUUUUCGGGCCCAACGAGAUAUCCAAACCUCAAGGAGGGGCGCCAACUCCAUUACAUGGAUUAAAGUGGCGGUAUAUUUUUAAUUACCACAUUUUUUAUUAUAUUAGUGAUGACACUUGAUAAAACUUAGGAUUUAUAAUCCAUAUUUUUUUUCAUAUGUAGUGUCCUCAACAACGUAAUCAAAUAGAUUGCGGGUAUUUCAUGUUGAGGUUUAUGCGAGAUACUCUUGCUUUGGGCCGAUUAAAGAUUCCCACCGAUUACUUUGAUGAAUUCAAGUGUGCAUUUUAUACAAAGGAUCAAGUGGACGAAAUCAAAGAGGAGUGGUGUCAAUUCAUGAUAAAGCUGUGUAAUUAAUGUGUACAUUUGUAGUAUAUGUUAUGACUUGUAAAUGUGUACAUAAAUUUGUAUAUAUUUUGAUACAUUUAAGGCAAAAUUGGUUUGAA
Molecule: long non-coding RNA, 532 nt
Organism: Lathyrus oleraceus (garden pea)
Lineage: Eukaryota; Viridiplantae; Streptophyta; Magnoliopsida; Fabales; Fabaceae
Exons: 3
Source: RefSeq, a predicted model, not a curated record